CAAGUACUCCCUCCGUCCGGAAAUACUUGUCGGGGAAAUGAAUGUAUCUAGAUGUAUUUCAGUUUUAGAUACAUCCAUUUCGAUCCAUUUUUGCGACAAGUAAUUUCGGACGGAGGGAGUACAUC
This is a non-coding RNA of Triticum aestivum (bread wheat), 125 nucleotides long. Lineage: Eukaryota; Viridiplantae; Streptophyta; Magnoliopsida; Poales; Poaceae. The record is from Rfam.